CCAUCAAACUUAGAGAAUAUUUGAAUGUUUAUUAGUAAUGUAAUUCGAUAAUCCCUAAUAAAACAAUCCUUUUUUAGGAAUGUUAUCAUCUCUUGCAGCUAGCGGGCUGAAGACCUCGCACGAUCUUGAGCGAUGAAUGCCACUUGUCCUAAGAUAAGAUGAGUAAAAAUUGGACGAGAAGCGUAGGAUAACCUAAAAAAAUUCUCGAAGUCCAUA
This 216-nucleotide long non-coding RNA is filed under the name Elaeis guineensis (African oil palm). RNAcentral's name for it is "long non-coding RNA (EGUI_LNC009607)". The record is from RNAcentral. Lineage: Eukaryota; Viridiplantae; Streptophyta; Magnoliopsida; Arecales; Arecaceae.